RNAcentral lists this ribosomal RNA (812 nucleotides) under uncultured bacterium. RNAcentral describes it as "bacterial SSU rRNA". It matches the Rfam family "Bacterial small subunit ribosomal RNA", at positions 561 to 1372 of the family's 1533-position model. The record is from RNAcentral.
GUAAGGACGCGUAGGCGGGAAGCCAAGUCUGAUGUGAAAUCCUAUGGUAACCAUAGAACUGCAUUGGAAACUGGUUACCUAGAGUAUGGGAGGGGGAGAUGGAAUUAGUGGUGUAGGGGUAAAAUCCGUAGAUAUCACUAGGAAUACCGAAAGCGAAGGCGAUCUCCUGGAACAAUACUGACGCUAAGGCGUGAAAGCGUGGGGAGCAAACGGGAUUAGAUACCCCGGUAGUCCACGCCCUAAACGAUGUUCACUAGUCGUCGGAAUGCUAGUCAUUUCGGUGAUGCACUUAACAGAUUAAGUGAACCGCCUGGGGAGUACGGUCGCAAGAUUAAAACUCAAAGGAAUAGACGGGGACCCGCACAAGUGGUGGAGCAUGUGGUUUAAUUCGAAGAUAUGCGAAGAACCUUACCUAGCCUUGACAUUGAAGAAACACUUUAGAGAUAGAGUGGUGCCCUUCGGGGAAUCUGAAAACAGGUGCUGCACGGCUGUCGUCAGCUCGUGUCGUGAGAUGUUGGGUUAAGUCCCGCAACGAGCGCAACCCUCGUCCUUAGUUGCCAGCAGGUUAAGCUGGGCACUUUAAGGAGACUGCCUUCGCAAGGAGGAGGAAGGUGAGGACGACGUCAAGUCAUCAUGGCCCUUAUGGCUAGGGCUACACACGUGCUACAAUGGGGCGUACAGAGAGUUGCGAUACCGCGAGGUGGAGCCAAUCUCAUAAAGCGUCUCUCAGUUCGGAUUGGAGUCUGCAACUCGACUCCAUGAAGCUGGAAUCACUAGUAAUCGUAGAUCAGCAAUGCUACGGUGAAUACGUU